Small nucleolar RNA from Elaeis guineensis (African oil palm), 107 nucleotides. NCBI's taxonomy places the organism in Eukaryota, Viridiplantae, Streptophyta, Magnoliopsida, Arecales, Arecaceae. The record is from RefSeq and is a predicted model, not a curated record.
AUAGCAUGGUGGGGGCAUUUAUGAAUGACGUCCCUUAACCUUUCUCAUGUCUCAUGAAAAUGUUCACCAUCCAAUUGAGAAAAACUAAUAAUGGCUUUUUUAACUUG